CGUCAAGUCAUCAUGGCCCUUACGACCAGGGCUACACACGUGCUACAAUGGCGCAUACAAAGAGAAGCGACCUCGCGAGAGCAAGCGGACCUCAUAAAGUGCGUCGUAGUCCGGAUUGGAGUCUGCAACUCGACUCCAUGAAGUCGGAAUCGCUAGUAAUCGUGGAUCAGAAUGCCACGGUGAAUACGUUCCCGGGCCUUGUACACACCGCCCGUCACACCAUGGGAGUGGGUUGCAAAAGAAGUAGGUAGCUUAACCUUCGGGAGGGCGCUUACCACUUUGUGAUUCAUGACUGGGGUGAAGUCGUAACAAGGUAACCGUAGGGGAACCUGCGGUUGGAUCACCUCCUUACCUUAAAGAAGC
RNAcentral lists this ribosomal RNA (363 nucleotides) under Escherichia coli. RNAcentral describes it as "bacterial SSU rRNA". It matches the Rfam family "Bacterial small subunit ribosomal RNA", at positions 1183 to 1533 of the family's 1533-position model. RNAcentral also lists the same sequence under 3 other names. The record is from RNAcentral. Lineage: Bacteria; Pseudomonadati; Pseudomonadota; Gammaproteobacteria; Enterobacterales; Enterobacteriaceae.